Molecule: long non-coding RNA, 707 nt
Filed under: Brachypodium distachyon (stiff brome)
Lineage: Eukaryota; Viridiplantae; Streptophyta; Magnoliopsida; Poales; Poaceae
Description: long non-coding RNA (BDIS_LNC001097)
Source: RNAcentral
UGAGAUCUCAGUACAUAUCUCAUUCCAGAAAUUUCUGUUUCACGUUCAAAACAGCAAAUCUUUCAUUGAUUCAGGUACAGAAAAAAAUCCAGUGUUCGUCUUUACAACGAGCAUAACACCAUUGCUAUUUUGCACAACAGAUAACAGCUUCAGGUUAAAGAGCAGAUACAGGUUCAGCAAACAGUAAGCUUUAGCAAACAACAAGCACCAAUUCGAAUUCAGGAAACAGCGAGCAUCUAAUUCGAUUCAACAAACAAAGAGCAUCCAAUUUGACUAAGCUAAUAUUAAUCUUCCAUUUCGAUUUAGCUAACAUCAUGGAGACGCCGCCACCGUUGCGUGGGGCCGCCGCCGCCAGAGCAUGGGGACGCCGCCUGCGCGUGGUUCUGCCGCUGCCGCCAGAGCAUGGGGACGCCGCCGACUCAUGGGGCCACCUUCGCCUGCGCGUGGGGGCAGCUCCGCUCGCCCCCGUUCCUGGGGGAUCCUCCGCCCGUGCGUGGGGUUAAACCUCUGCCUCCAGCGCAUGGGGCCGUGGCUGCUGCCACCUGCGCCUGUGUACAGCGCCGUCCGCCGCUAGCGCCUCCACAAAGCCGUCCGCCGUCGGCCUCCUUAAAACUCGGGCUAGGGAUUGCAAUCGACACAGACAAGAGGGUGCCGGUUCAGAGUAGAGGGAAAGAAACAAGGGGUUUUUCCUCAAAAUCGCGUUAAAG